Small nuclear RNA from Oryctolagus cuniculus (rabbit), 107 nucleotides. The record is from Ensembl. NCBI's taxonomy places the organism in Eukaryota, Metazoa, Chordata, Mammalia, Lagomorpha, Leporidae.
GUCCUUGUUUCAACAGCGCAUACACUAAAAUAGAAAAGACACAGAGAAGAUUAGCAUGGCUUCUGCAGGAGGAUGACACUCAAAUUCGUGAAGCAUUCCAUAUUUUU